CGGCUUUGGCAGCCCACAUGCUAAGUCGGAAUGACACAGAGGAGCUUGGCGUGGCCCCUGCACAAGGGUGACACGCCAAUUCGUGAAGCGCCCCACAUUUCU
This is a small nuclear RNA of Pteropus vampyrus (large flying fox), 102 nucleotides long. The record is from Ensembl. NCBI's taxonomy places the organism in Eukaryota, Metazoa, Chordata, Mammalia, Chiroptera, Pteropodidae.